GCUGCUGCUAUAGUACUUUCAGGCAAGGCCAAGGCUUCUUGAAAGGCUGGUCAUGCCCCAGUGAUCAAUGAAGAACUCAGGGAUAUCCCAAAACUCAGGACUAUAAGGCACAAUGGGGGAGCAGGUACCAGGUGGCCAGCAUCCUAAAUGACUCUCAGCAGCUGCAGAGAAGUAUAGAAUGCUGGGGCCCUUCCAUUACUCCAUGCACUGGGGAAGAACUAGAAUUGUGAGAAGAGCUUUCACGCUCCCAUAACCAUUCCUUGGCCCACCUCCAAGAAAAGGCAGGCUGGCCUCUGUUUAGGUGUUGUCUGUGCUUGCAUUCCCAACGUUGACAUGAGGAAUUAUCAAUGGGUUCCGGACAUAAUCAGCCACACGGCAGAGUGAAUUCCAGGAGUGUAAAUAACAAGAGCUGCCUAUAAAUCUACCUCAGAAGACAAAGGGAAAAGCAAAACUCUGCCCAGGAAGACCUUACUUUACAAACCAGGUGACCAAAUUUCUAAAACAUCAUUCCCGUAAUCCCUGAUCAACAGAAAGGAAGCUCUGGAAGCAUGAAUGGUCAGUACACACAUCGUCCACAGGACUCACACACCACAAACUAGUCAUUGAUCCUUUUGACCCAAUUUCAGAAAAUAUGUUUACAUAGAGACACAUAUUUUUGCUAUUUACUUUUUGAGCAACCAACAGGAAAACCUAUCCACAUAUGUCCAUUAUGAUCCUCUCUAAUGAAGACUAUCUCUUUAUGUUGUUUAAACAAAAAGAAAUUAAUGCAUGAGAAUGUCAAAGUUCUGAGCUUUAAGUUUCUGUACUCAAUAUAUUGAAUAAAAGAUAUAUGUAGUAUACAUUGGAAUAGAAA
RNAcentral lists this long non-coding RNA (853 nucleotides) under Homo sapiens (human). Its description in RNAcentral is "long intergenic non-protein coding RNA 1350". The record is from RNAcentral. Lineage: Eukaryota; Metazoa; Chordata; Mammalia; Primates; Hominidae.